AUACGGAGGGUGCAAGCGUUAAUCGGAAUUACUGGGCGUAAAGCGCGCGUAGGCGGAUUGUUAAGUCUCAUGUGAAAGCCCUGGGCUCAACCUGGGAACUGCAUGGGAUACUGGCAAUCUAGAAUACAGUAGAGGGUAGUGGAAUUUCAGGUGUAGCGGUGAAAUGCGUAGAGAUCUGAAGGAACAUCAGUGGCGAAGGCGACUACCUGGACUGAUAUUGACGCUGAGGUGCGAAAGCGUGGGGAGCAAACGGGAUUAGAAACCCUAGUAGUCC
RNAcentral lists this ribosomal RNA (274 nucleotides) under uncultured bacterium. RNAcentral describes it as "partial 16S ribosomal RNA". It matches the Rfam family "Bacterial small subunit ribosomal RNA", at positions 523 to 796 of the family's 1533-position model. The record is from RNAcentral.